This 301-nucleotide ribosomal RNA is filed under the name uncultured bacterium. RNAcentral describes it as "partial 16S ribosomal RNA". It matches the Rfam family "Bacterial small subunit ribosomal RNA", at positions 509 to 807 of the family's 1533-position model. The record is from RNAcentral.
CAGUAGCCGCGGUAAUACGUAGGUGGCAAGCGUUGUCCGGAAUUAUUGGGCGUAAAGGGCUCGCAGGCGGUUUCUUAAGUCUGAUGUGAAAGCCCCCGGCUCAACCGGGGAGGGUCAUUGGAAACUGGGAAACUUGAGUGCAGAAGAGGAGAGUGGAAUUCCACGUGUAGCGGUGAAAUGCGUAGAGAUGUGGAGGAACACCAGUGGCGAAGGCGACUCUCUGGUCUGUAACUGUCGCUGAGGAGCGAAAGCGUGGGGAGCGAACAGGAUUAGAUACCCGUGUAGUCCCUGUCUCUUAUAC